GGGAGAUGGCGUGAAAUGGCCGCCGGGACAGGCCUGUGGCGGUGAGGGGCUUCCCAGCCCUGGCAGAGGUGCUUACCAUCAAUCAGGUGUCAGGCCCACCUGAACCUGUCUCACACCCACGGGCUCUCGCUGCUGGAAAAUGCUUGUUUGAUCUAGCUUUGCUUCUGUUUUCCCACCCCCACCACACUGAUCCACACAGCGGACGAAUCCAGUGGCUGCCCUGCUCCGGGCACAGCCGGGGGUUUUGGGGUGAGGUUGGUCUCCUAUGGACUUUCCAGGGGGCUCAUGCUCCCCCCUCACAAGUUGGAGGAGCUGCUCUGCACCGUGGUCUGCUGGGGCUGGACGUCAGCACAUGGCUUCUUCACAGGCAAAAAGCACCCUACAUCCUGCACGGGUGGGUGGGCCGAGAAGGUGGCCUGGGUGUUGAAAGCCUGUGUGUGGUGUUACACAUGGGACCAGAUGAAAUCCUGAAACCCUCCUUCCUGACCUCAAAAUCCAGGGGCUCUCCCAGCGCUCGACCGAGGGACGCUUGUGAAAGAGGCGCUUCCCAAGGGAACGUGCGUUCGGAGGCAGGGAAGCGCAGCAGGACGCGUUUCCCUCGGGAAGCGGAGAUCAGAGCAGGGGAGUGGAGGCGGACGGCCAAGGGAAGCGGGGAGGACUGGUAUGCACAGGCUGCGUGUCCUCGGGGGAGAUCUGUUUCAUAUGCAGCCUGACUCGCUGCUUAGGGCACACAGGGGAAAAGAGGAGCUGCAGGAAGAAGAUGAGGUCCUCGGUUUGGCCAGCAAGCGUGGGGUCCCCCCUCGCACGUGUCUUUUGUGAGCAUCCCUUUGCAGAGGCAGCCCGGGUGCCCUAGGAUCUGGGCACAGGAGGCGCAGAUGGGCCCCGUGGCGCAAGCUGGCUACCCUGUGAAGCUGUUUUGGCAGGAGAGGAAGAUGUGAGCAACAGCAUCUGUUACCAGCCCGGGAGGAGACAGAGGGAGCUUUCACCAGCCACAGCCCAGGAGGGCAGGGGGGGCACACAGCAUGCCGCCGGGAGCCCCCGUGCCCCCGCCUUCUGCCAUCCAUCCCCUGCUCCACAUUUGCUGGCACCAACUUUGAAAGAAAUCACAUUAAUUUUGCCCUGAUGAAAAGCUGCUGGAUCAGCAAAAUGGAACCACUUAUUCAGGGAGCAGCUGAGCAGGGGCCAAGUGCAAGUCACCCCUGAGCACCUCCAGCAGCCGCCUG
This 1223-nucleotide long non-coding RNA is filed under the name Anser brachyrhynchus (Pink-footed goose). RNAcentral's name for it is "lncRNA (ENSABRG00000014268.1)". Lineage: Eukaryota; Metazoa; Chordata; Aves; Anseriformes; Anatidae. The record is from RNAcentral.